Molecule: non-coding RNA, 103 nt
Organism: Acanthosepion pharaonis
Lineage: Eukaryota; Metazoa; Mollusca; Cephalopoda; Sepiida; Sepiidae
Source: the annotation of a GenBank genome assembly
GGUCAUAUCAUGGAGAAACACCGGUUCUCGUCUGAAGUUGAGCAAUGUUGAGCCUGCUCAGUACCUAGAUGGGUGACCACUUGGGAAUAGUAGCUGCUGUAAG